RNAcentral lists this long non-coding RNA (3006 nucleotides) under Copidosoma floridanum. Its description in RNAcentral is "uncharacterized LOC106646310". The record is from RNAcentral. Lineage: Eukaryota; Metazoa; Arthropoda; Insecta; Hymenoptera; Encyrtidae.
UUGAAGAAAUACAUUAUUAAUGAUAAUUAUGAUUACUUGAUGAUGAAAAUAAAAAAAUCUCGCUUCCUCUUCCACAUUCCUACGUAACGUGUUAAGAAAAAGAUUUAAUUGUAUAACGAAUUAAACGAGAGACAGACAGAUAAUUAAUUGUAUAAGGUGUUGUCGUCGAUUUUUUUUAAACGAGUACGAUAUACUAAGAGAACACAAGAUUACUUAUCUAAUUGUCAUUUUAUGCUCGACGAAUCGACGAUGUUUCAAUUAGGUGUGAAAAUGAAAAUAGGCCGAUUAAAGUACGAAUGAGUGUUGAGCGAGAGUGACGAAUUUUUUCCUUUUAUUGUAUACUUAUCAGAGUUUAUUAUUAAAUACUUGAAUAUUUAAACGAAAUGCGAGAUGCAGACGAGAAUGAGAAAGUGAGAAACAAAUGAGGGACAAAGUGGCGACGCUAAUGGCAGGGUAUACGAAUAAUAAAACAAAUAAAAGCAAACAAGCUAAUUUUUAAUCUCUAUGGUCCAGAAAAAAAAAAAAAAAAAAUGAUUAUCGACUAGAAAAAUUCAGAUACCAGAAAAAAAGUACAUUAAUAGGUAAAAGAAGCAUUCUAAUUAAUUGUCGAUGUGAUUGUAGUUUCUGUACGUUCAAAAAUUUCAUCGCAAAGUGUAUGAAAAAAACAAAACGAAAAAACAAAAAAAUAACAAAAAAACAAAAAUAAAAAAAAAAAUCAAUGCAUGAACAAUAAGUUAAUAAUUAUCGAUGGCAGAUGAAGUAAUUUAAGUGUAAAACUCGAGAAGACGAACCUGUUUGUAGAUUAAAAGCCAGAAAAGUCGCGAGACAGUAGCGUGAUAGAAAACAAAAAUGAAAAACCAAAAAAUUUCAAGCUAAUAAUUGACAAAAAGAAGCCACGUUUGGAAAGAGUUUCGAGAUGGAAAAAAAAAAUCAAUGAGUCUUUCAAUUUUAUUACCGUAAACUGCCAGUUUUUUCGAAUCAAGAAUUCAAAGCGUAAAUCUCGUGCGUGUUUUGACAAAAAAAAAACAAAAAAAAAAAACAAAAAAAAAACAAAUUUUGUCGUCGCGAAUGAAAUGACAAACUUACCGUAUAUACGCAUGAGAAAAACUUUGUUCCCUUUAUUUCGCAAAACAAAGAAAAUUAAAGAAAAACACUAUUAUCAUCGAAAAAUCAAUGAUUUCUGGCAUGUCUCGCAUUAGAUAGGUUCAAUACAUAUCUUUUAUUGUUAAAACAAAUUUGAUAUUUACAAUAAUCUGGCGUAAGCUUACUUUGUCCACCCAACAUGUAUGUAUUUACAUUUUAGUUGCAAUUACACUACAUCAAAUUCAACUGGUUGCAGUGAUUACUUUUCAUUUCCAAUUUCACGACUCGUCAAAUGAACAAUUCAAAUUUUACUUUUCAUCACAGUAGAAUAAUCAUCGAUUAUCAUCAUUAAAAAUUUCACAAAGUGGCAAACUUUCAAAAGCUUAACAGCUAUAAACUCUACUCUACUUCCUUUCGUUCGAAGCGAACUAAAAGUUUCAUCCGUUGUACUACCUCGUCCAAGUUUCACUUUUUCCUUGUUUCGCACAAAAGCAAAUGGCUGAGAAGUUAAAUAAUCAGCGAAAGCCAAAAAGCCGGCAGUUUGAGAAAAGAUAAAUAUCGGAGAUGGGCUUGCUCGCACACCCCCACACGGUAAAAUUUGCUCUUUUCCGCCUCCUGUUUAUUUUUUUCGCUCGCGAGAUUAACGAGGAGAAGAAAAACAGCAUAGGAAAAACAUAAGGACACCAAACGCCAUCGAUGCGCCACGAGAGUGUUUCUUUACCCUUAACUUUUAUUUUCCUUGUUUCGCUCUCAUGCAAUGAGAUAGCGCAGCUUCGUUUGAAAAAAAAAAAAAAAAGUCACACCCUUAGGAGAUAUUGUCACAGACAAUUAAAAUAGGACCAGAAUAGAUGUAUAGCGACGAAAGGUAUAACGUUAAUUUUUGGCAAAUUAUUUUUAUGAAACGCCAUCGCGCGUCCACACGUACAUACACAACACACAAGAGACUCACGCAGAGACGCGGUACACCAAAAUCCACUUUGUCACGGGGUGCCAAGGGAAUUGAAGCUCAAAAAGCUGAAAAAAGGUUCCCCCCAGUUAGCAGCCAAUAUUUGGAGCAUCUGUGUAAUCUUUUGUUCGUAAAACCAACUCACAAACACCCACUACAGUAAUCUAUAUGAAACACGCUAUAAUGGCUGGGGUACACAACCAACGUCGCGGUAGCCUUUUGUGUACAUAGAACGAAAUUGUUAACCAAAGCGAGACGCGUUUGAAAGGAAAACCACGGAUGAAACGUGUAUUGUUGAUCGAUCGUCGUUUUCGCGGUAGUGGACCAUACUAAGAGAGAACCCGUAUAUUUUCGAAAGUCAAAAAGUUACCUUAAAGUGAGGGGUACGACGACGCGUGCUUUUUUCUCUCACCGGGUGAAAGUUAAGAUUGGACUCGCAACAAAAAAAAAAAAAAAAAAAAAAACAAUAAAGUGAACACCACCGUCCUCCUCUGUUCGCUCGAACCAUCACGAAAGUCUCAAUGGCCGCGUCUGGUCUUGCUUCUACGCUGCGAUGACAGGCGCGCACGUGUACGCACGAAAGACGCGUAGGGAACGAGAUUCGAGCGCCUCAGAGGUAACCGAGUGCCAAUAAAUAAUUAAGGAUUUUUCAUCGUCAGCGUCGCCCGCCGAGGAAGAAACAGAAGAUACGAGGAACCCCUUUGAACAACAGCGCGCGCUGACUUUGUUUAAAAAAAACACACACACACACACACACACACACAAAGGAAUAAUAAUGAUAAUGAUAAUUAUAGUUGCGAUAGAUAGAUAAAAACAAAAAAUAAAAAGAUUAUUAUUGAUACACUUCGCCUUGUAACGAUGUAUAAAUACUGACGAAGGGAAGGACUUCAACCUCUACACCUCUCACGUAUAUAGGCUAGGAAUUGUCCUCGCGCUCGACGAGAGAGAGGGAGAGAGAGAUGAAAAAAAAAAAAAAA